CGGCCAGUGGUGUAGCGGUCUAACGCAUCUUCCUAUCAAGGACGGCCGCGGGUUCGAAUCCCGCCUUGCUGG
RNAcentral lists this transfer RNA (72 nucleotides) under Operophtera brumata (winter moth). It matches the Rfam family "tRNA". Rfam says of the family: Transfer RNA (tRNA) molecules are approximately 80 nucleotides in length. Lineage: Eukaryota; Metazoa; Arthropoda; Insecta; Lepidoptera; Geometridae. The record is from Rfam by way of RNAcentral.